ACUCCUACGGGAGGCAGCAGUGGGGAAUUUUGGACAAUGGGGGUAACCCUGAUCCAGCCAUGCCGCGUGAGUGAAGAAGGCCUUCGGGUUGUAAAGCUCUUUCAGUUGGGAAGAAACGGGGUUCUCUAAUACAGGGCUCUAAUGAUGGUACCGACAGAAGAAGCACCGGCUAACUACGUGCCAGCAGCCGCGGUAAUACGUAGGGUGCGAGCGUUAAUCGGAAUUACUGGGCGUAAAGCGUGCGCAGGCGGUUGUGUAAGACAGGUGUGAAAUCCCCGGGCUUAACCUGGGAACUGCGCUUGUGACUGCACGGCUAGAGUACGGCAGAGGGGGGUGGAAUUCCACGUGUAGCAGUGAAAUGCGUAGAGAUGUGGAGGAACACCGAUGGCGAAGGCAGCCCCCUGGGCCGAUACUGACGCUCAUGCACGAAAGCGUGGGGAGCAAACAGGAUUAGAUACCCUGGUAGUC
RNAcentral lists this ribosomal RNA (468 nucleotides) under uncultured bacterium. RNAcentral's name for it is "bacterial SSU rRNA". It matches the Rfam family "Bacterial small subunit ribosomal RNA", at positions 335 to 795 of the family's 1533-position model. The record is from RNAcentral.